RNAcentral lists this long non-coding RNA (25243 nucleotides) under Olea europaea (common olive). RNAcentral describes it as "long non-coding RNA (OEUR_LNC010074)". The record is from RNAcentral. Lineage: Eukaryota; Viridiplantae; Streptophyta; Magnoliopsida; Lamiales; Oleaceae.
AUGUAUAUGGCCUAUAUUCUUGUAUAAGUAUAAGUACUGUAAAUAAUUUUCUAAAGAGACAAGCAGCUAUUUGGCUCAACUGAGCCGGAAGACUUCCCAAUGGCGUUAAUGCAUGACGAAUGAGCCGCCUCAUUUUUAUAGGUCAGCUUAACAUCUUCCAAGGUAAUAUCACUGCAUGGAUUUUCCUUGCUGCAGUCAAAUUUUACUGCAGUUUCUGUUGCCGAACUCCCAUGUCUGUCUUGAUAUGUUACAUCACUAAUCUUCACGCCUGAAACCUGAAAAAAUUAAGACCGCUUUGCAUAAUUAAUUUACAAUUGAAUGGUAUAUAUUAAUUUUAUUUUUUUAAUAAUGAGUUCCCAUGUCUUAAUUACCUGACUGGGGCAAUUAUGGUCGUCGGGACAGUAAUUUCGAUCAAUAAUUAUGGGGUUUUCAACAUUAACCAUGACUAAAUGCUGGAAAAGAAUAUUUUAAAGAAUCCAUUGCUUGGCCUGGCCCAUGUCUUCACCCUCGCCCCAUUUUGAGUUCCUGUAAAUGUAGCUGAUUUAACUGUCACAUUUUGCACUCCAAGUUCUUGCAAAUCCCAGCCUAGACUCCCAAUGCUGCAGAAAAGGAGCACAAAUUAGUUAACUCAGCUAAAUAAAUUGUUGGGAUACAUUACGUUAUACUUCCUCUGCUCCAAAAAAUAGAAUUGCUUUCCUUUUUUAUCUAUCCCAAAUAAAGGUCACUUUCCUUGUUGAGAUUAUAAUUAAUUUCUUAGUUUUCUAAUAAAGUCCUAUUUGAAGUGUCUUGUUAUCAACAAAUAUGAAUUAUUCUUAUUUAAGCCAUUAUGUAAUGUAGAAAUAUGUUAGGAAAAAAUAAAAGAAAAAUUUAUAUUUUCAACUAUAUAACUUACAUGUUUCUUAAUUCGUGUGAAAAUAGAAAUAUGUUUAUCUUUGUGGGUCAUAAGGAGCCUGAUUAUAUCUAUUUUAAUGAAGAUUGUGUAGUUGAAAAUAAGUAUUGUAGAAAAAAUAAUGUAGUAAAAUGGUUGACAAACAAAAGUUAUAUCUAUUGUGGCUAUCAAUUUUUAAUUUACGUUUUUAGUACCUAAUUCCAUGGCCAGGGUCGCAUGCAAUGGUCUCAAUCCACAAGUUCGAGGUGCCGGGGCCUAUAGAGAGACAAUCAUCUCCGGUGCCAAUCCGAGAGUUCAUAAUUGUGACUCCUGUUGAUUUCUCCACGUGAAUUCCGUCAGUGUUUGGGCUGUUGCCCGGUGCAGAAACCUUUAUUCCCACUAGCUUGGCAUUGUGGCAUCCAUCAACAAGAAUGUUGAACUUCUGGCUAUUUAUUGAAGACAAUCCAUUCAUUAUGAUGUUGUUGGAAUCGUAGAAGGCCAGUGUCCGAGCAAGAAAGAAUCAAAAAAUUACGUUAGAAUGUACAACAUGACAAAAAGUAAAAUCCACUUUCUUCUUUAUUAACAUACCGUUGCUCCGGUUGGACAACUCUUGCCGGAAUUUUUGCAAGCCCACAAAUUAGCCCCUUGGGCAUCUAGGGUUCCACCAAUAACAGAAACGCCGGUCACACUUUCGAACUUGAUCCAGUUACCAGAAUUUCCUAUAACAUUGAAAUCAGAUGGAGCUACUAGUGUCCCAUCAAUUUGGAUCGUUAUAGCAGUGUUUUUGCAUGACUUGCCGGCAAAAGUUGCAGCUCCGAGCAAGUAUAUUCCCGGUGGCACGUAAAUGGUAGCUGGCUGUGUAGAAGCACAUGCUGAGGUCCAUGCACUCAAGAACGCCUUGGUACAAUCAGUUUUUCCAUCAGAUUUUGCUCCCAAACUUUGGACAUUGUAAUUAGCAUUGGCUGCAAUUGAUGAGUAGUGGAAGAAUGUCAAGAGGAAAUAUUGGAAAGCAAGGAAAAAACUUAAAGCUCCAGCCAUUUUUUUUUCGUAUGUAUGUGUGUGUUAUAGAGAUAGGGGGAGAGAGAGAAAGAGAGAGGGGAUGAGGAGAUGAAGCAGUUAUAAGAGGUAUUUAUAGGGUAUAAUUUGAGUGCAAAUUUAAACAGUGAUGGUGUUUAUGAGAAGAAAAAUUGUUUGGACAAAUGAGAAUUUCAAGUUAUUUAGCUCAAUAAGAAAAAUAUGUAUGGCAAUAUAAGAAAGGAAUCUUGUUUUUUUAUACCUAUUUCUUAAGAGAUAUUGCAUAGAAUAAAAAAAAUGUCAGUUAAAUUGUGGCUAAAGAAACAAAAUACAGGCACAUGGUUGAAUAUUUGUUUGGACAAAUAAGAAAUUCAACUUAUUUAUAAUAGGAUCCUUGAAAGUUAAAACCCUAUAUAAAGAAAUCUUUUUAAUUGAAGUAACGACGUCUUACAUGACAUAUACAUGACAGUUUGUUAUUUGAUAUAUAAGAUUCAUACAUCAAAUAACAAACUGUUACGUAUAUACCACGUGAGACGAUUAUUAUUACUAAACCUUUGAUAAAGAAAGAAAUUGGAAUUGUUCUUAUCUUCUUGUCCCCCUCUCUCUUCUCUUCAUCUCUCCCUUUUUUCCGUUCUAUAAUUGUUCUACUGCAUACUACAUCACUGUUAUAAAAGGUAGAAUCAUCAAUACAAGGAAUAAUCAAAAGCGUGCAAUUUGACAAGGUCAACAAUCUACGAUUGCAACGCAAUUUACAUAAUCUACAAUUUCAUUAUGAAUGCAUUUUUUGCAAUGUUGAUUUUCUUUUGGCUAUUCCACGUGCCUGAGGAUUUGGGGUUCUUGGAUGCACAUUAUUUCAAUUUAAAUCAACUAUAUACCCAGUUAUUACUAGGCUUUAUUUCAGGCCGAACCCAGACUUCUACUGCUAUAGAGUCAAAAAUUUAUAUAUAAUUUUUUUUUAAAUAACCUAAUAUUAAUGAAAUAAGUCAAUACAUAUUAUGAUACUUUAAAAAUGUCAUAUAAUUACAUUAUUAUCAAUAUUAUUAAAUAAAUUUUGCUACUUGUAUAGUUUUGUUUACCAUUUCGUAAAUGAAUUGAAAUAAAUUUCAAGUUUAAUCCAGAAAGUAUAGUUUUGAUACUUUAAAAAUGUCAUAUAAUUUUGCUACAUGUGUCCAUAAAUAAAUAAAUUUAAUUGCUGAAACUCUACUUUUAUAUAUCUCUCUAAUUCAGUAUUAAAUUGUAAAGAAAAUUUUAUGGACAUUAAGUACACAUUUAUGAAAGCGUACUUCAUAUUUGAAUUAGAAUGAAACGUCACAACUCACAAUAAAAUUUAAAGGUUGACUUAGUUAAUAUUAUAUAUAGGUUUCCGCUGUAACACGUCAUAAUAAAUAAAUAAGUAAAAAGUAAAAUUUUGACUUAAAUCCUCUUGUCAUUAUUUGUUGUGUAUAUAUUUAACUUUUGAACGAAGAAUGAAUUUCAUCACUACACAAAACACUUAUUGAAUACAAUUUUAUAAUGGAAAAAAGAUAUUGUUCACGUUGUUGUUUGCAUCAUCGUCAGAAUUGUUAAGUAUGGUGACAAGUUUCAAAUAAUUCGUAGAUUUGAUUCCUUCCAACAACUAAAUCAUUAUUUUAGCUGAGAAAUUAAACCAAUAUCCAUUUGGUCAAAAAUAUUAGUUACAGCUCAAAUUUCUUGCUUAUAAAUUUAGUCCAGAGUUUCAAAAAUAAAUUAAACUGACCAAAGUAAUGAAUAGUUUGAACUAGUGUUUUUUUCCUUCGUAAAAUGAGACAUAAUUUUAAUAGUCUUUUAAUCGAGACAUUUACUUUAAUAAUAAAACUGAAGUCCCCUGCUGUGUUCCUAACAUGUUACACAAUUUCAAAAUAGUCUAAUUUUAUUCUUUGUAAGGACAAAAGUACCUCCUAACUUUCCAUUUCUAUCUCGAUUCAAGUUCUGAGGUAGGGCGUUCUUUCCUUAUAGUCCAAAUUAUCAUCUAUAGAUGUAGUAGGAGAUGUGUCAAAUCCUGCCCCCACAUUGAUUUUCUAUUGAGGCAAUAAAAUCCAGAACAAGCUUUGGUGCUGCUUUAACUAACACAUUAUAAUUAGAGUCCUUAAUAAACCCUUCUUAAAUUACAUCAAAAUUACCUAGAUUUAAGUAACAAUAGGGUACAAUAAAUAUAUAGGAAUGGAUAGCCAACGAACUAAUAAUGAAUAGAAAUAAAAUUAAGGUGUUAAUUCAUUAAUUGAUCAACAGCCAUUCUUUCUGCUAAUAGUAAAGUUGAAGAUUAAUUUCCAGCGAGAAUGUUGCCUAAAUUACUCAUUUCUCAUUUGAGUUGCAAAUACUGCCUUUUUAAUUUCAACCCUUUUUGUUAUCCGUUAUAUCAACCCUUUUUAAUUUCAACCCUUUUUAAUUUCACUUUAUGAGAUCCAUGAUUUUAAAUUCUAAAUAAAAAUAAAUAAAUACAAUGAAACAAUAGAUUUAAACCACUUUUUUUUUUGAAUAGUGAAUUUUUGGAAAAUGCAUAGUUAAAAGAAAAAUGUUUUAGAUUUACAUGCAACAUUAUUUUGUGGGAGAAUAUGUGGUUGAAAAUGAGUUUUACAAAAAGGUAUUUUUUGAAAGCUAUUGAAGCCCCUACGUGGCUUAUUAACUUGCUUAAUUUUCACUGUAGUCACGAUCUAAUGCAAUGCGUCAUCAGAGGGAAGGCCUCACGGAAGUGUGUAUUAGGAUUCAUAGCAGAAGAUAUAUUUUUUCUUGGGGAAUAUAUUAACUUAAUUAAUUACUUAAUAAAUGUUAAACUGUUUUAUUUGCAAUGAUGUUACUUGAAAUUACAAUGACGGCUGUUCCUACAAUAUUCUACUUUAUUUUGAGCAUAACAAAAGUUUAUCCUUGUCUAUGCCCUGUUUGAGCUCCUUUAUCAAAAAUCUCAUUUUCUCCUAAAUUUAUUUUCAAUCACAUCUUUUUAAUAAAAUAACGUUGUAAGCGUGAUUCCCCAAAAAUUAGUUUUUUCUAUUAAGCGUGAUUCCAUUUCUGGCAGUCGUUGGUAAAUGUUAGGCCCUGUAAUUAGUAUAGUUUAUGUAGAGGUCAAAAUAAUCACAUGCAUUGCUCAGGAAAAAUGGUAGGCCCUGUAAUUAGUAUAGUUUAUGUAGGGAUUUAUUAAAUUUUGCUUUUUAAGGUAAUUAUUUGAAUUAAACCAAAUCUUUUCAAACUGGUUCAUGCAAUUCUUAGUGCGCCAAUUACGAAAAUAUAUAUCGUAAUAUAGGCAGAAGAUUGAGGCAAAAACUUAUAGGAUCUACACUCAUUCUAAAUGAUUUUCUAAUUAUACAAGCAACUAUUUAGCUGAACUGAGGCAGAAGACUUCCCGUCGGCAUUAAUGCAUGACGACUGAGCCGAUUCAUUGCAACUAGAGGAGGCCCUGAGGGUAAGCGACCGCACAAAGACUCAAAAUUGUAGGAGCACCAAAAUUUUGUUGUUGUUAUAGUUGUAUAUUUAUUAAUAAUUAAAUAUUUAACAUAUAUAUUAAUUUUAAAACAUAAAAUUUUUAUCAUUAUGCAUAAGAUAUUAAAAUUAAGAAUAUGUGACUAACUAAUUAUAAUUUCCUUGAAUAUAAUAUUCUUAAAUAGUAUUCCUACUUUAGAUAAUGUGAGGGACAAGGGAAAAGUCGAAAAGAGAUCAGGCCGGCCAGAGAAUUGAGAGAAAAAAGAAAAAUUGAGCAACCGCCUUUACCAAUCGUCUUUUUGGAGAAAAUAAUUAAAGAAAUCAACUGUGUUUUCCAGUUGCCUCAAAGAUAAUUGAGGCAAAGUAGAGAGAAACCAACCGUCUUUUUUGAGAAACCGUCUUUUUUUCCAAUCAUCUUUGAUCUGGCUUCAGAAAUUUCUCUCUUUUCCUUAACCGACGAUUGACAAUUCAUAUUUUUCAUUAACUUCUCACUAAAAAUCUGAAUUACCUGUUAUAUUUUCUUUAUUUUUUUUUUUGUCAAUCUCGUUUCGUGAUUUCAUUGAUUUGAAUUCACUUUGCAAGAACUUAUUAAAAUUUGAAUUCGCUUUGCCUGAAUGUGGGGAUUGAGGAAGCACGACAUAAUUUUCCUUCAGAGAAGUUGAACACUUACAAGUGAGUUUUUGUUUCCUCAACAUAUUUUUCUUCAAUAAUUUCUCCGAAUAUUCAAGAAAAUAUAAAUUCUUUUGUUAAUAUAUUUUCAAUGUUCUCGAGAUGAGUUCACUGUUCAUAAUUUAUAAUUACUAAUUUAAUAAGUGAAAUCAAUUAAUUUUAAGAGAUUUACUGUUAAAUGAAAUUAAUUAAUUGUGAAAAUGGAUUUGCUGUUCAUAAUUUAUAAUUACUAAUUUAAUAAGUGGUUUCAAUUAAUCGUGAAGUGAAUUCUGCUAAUGAAAUUGAUUCAUUUAAUUUUUACUAUCCUUUUCAAAAUUAAAGUUAUUAAAAUCUUAUUUAUGAUCAACCAUGUUACAAGAAUGAUUGAAUAGAUUAGCGUUGAUAUCUAUUGAACAAGACUUUCUAGAAAAUAUUAAUUACGAAAGUACAAUUAGUGAGUUUGCUUCUAAAAAUGCAAGAAGAAAUAUUUUUAUAUAAUUUGUUGCUAGAUUUUUUCAACGUUUGCUUAUAUAGAAUUGCACGAAGAUGCUAGUGGCUUGGAUAGUUCUUUGUUGAUUACAUAUGAAUUUUGAUGAAGCUCGAGAGAUGCUUUUAAGCUUUAUUUAUGUUUUUCUUGUUCAUGUAUGUAAAUAAAAAUUUAAAAAUAUAUAUUUAAAUAUCAUAUUUUUGCAAUCAAAUAAUAUAUUUGAAAUAAUUUUUUUUUAAUAUAUGUUUUAGUUACUUGAAGGGGGCACCAUUUUAAAAUCUCGCACAGAGCAUACAAAAUUUUAGGACCGGCUCUGAUUGCAACUUCUGUUGACGAAUUUCCGUAUGUCUUGAUAUGUUAUAUCACUAACCUGAAACCUGAAAAAAAAAUAAUAAUAAUAAAAUCAAGACCCUUCUUCAGGAUUAAUUUAGCAAGUUCGUGAUAUGCGGGCCUGAAAAUCAGCUUGUGGACAAGUUUGUAGUUGACUGGACUAAAGUUCAAUGAGGCGGUUACUCUCAGCAGUUAUAUGCCAAGCAAUUAACAUGUGCAAAGCAGUUUCUACAGGCGAGUUGUUUAUCCGUCUGGUAGGGGCAAUUUCCAGGUAGUUUAUGUUGGAAAUAUAAUAGAGUAACGACUUUAAAACCAAAAACAAACUUACCAACCUUACCGAAAAUUGGACAGAAUAAUGGCAAAGAAACAAGAAAAUUAGUGUUCUGGGUGGGAAACUUUUGAAUUCUUUCCCUAAUUGCUGGCGGUGUCAGCCAUACGAAUUUGUUAGAUGCUCAGGGCAUGAGACACAAAAGCAUAGAGUGCAUUGUUGUAAUCCAUUGUCAAGUUUCGUGGGUGUUCUGUUAUUGUGAUGAUAAAAGUUGGGGACGUAUUUUCGUGUACUUCAUGUGUGCGUUUAUAAAUUAUGUCCCUUUCAUAAAGUUCUGCAUUCCUUCAUUACAUAAAGAAACCUGAGUGCAAUUAGGUGGCUGACUUAAGAAACUUGUAUUAUAGGCGAAUAUUUACCCCAUCAACUUUGACCCCAUAACAAUAGACAACAAACUAAUGAUGAAUAGAGACAAAAUUAAGAUGGUAAUUAAUUAUUUGACCCAUAUGCCAUUCUUUCUCUACAUAGUUCAAAUUGAAGAUUAAUUUCCGGUGAGAAUGUUGCCUAAUUCACUCAUUUAUCAUUUUAAGUUACAAAUACUUUCAGUCUUCUUUAUUUUCAACCCAUUUUGUUAUCAGUUUCGUCAACAGUUGAAAUUUCACUUUAUUAAAUCCACGUUUUUUCAAUUCUGAUUAUAAAAGUAUGUGAACUUUUCCCUGCAUUCCUUCAAAACAAUAAGUACUAAUGACCCUAACACGUCUUAUUAACUUGUUCAAUUUUCCCUACAUUCAUGAUCAGAUGCAGUGCGUCAUUAGAGGGAAAUCCUCACGAAAAUGUGUAUUAGGAUGAAGAUAUGUUUUCAAGAUCGACCCUAAUAUUUUGUGGGCCUUAUACCAACUUUAAAUUUGGGGCCCCGUUGAAGAAAAAUUAUGGGAUAAUUAGGCCCAAUAAGGCCCAUUAAUCGAAAAAUUGAUAAUUACCCUUUCACUUUGCAAACUUUCAUUACCCAUACAAUAUAUGUUCUCAGAAGAAAGAUGGAUGCAAUUCAACCCCAACCAAUCCGUCAAAAAGUGAUUUCUCUUUGCCAAUAUCUGGGUGAUUUAUCACACAGGUUCCUUGGCUUUUCUUGAGAUAAAUUGGUUGCGCCUCUUCUUGCUCCUCUUCAUGGCUGCCUUUCUUCUCUCUUCAGCCGGCACUCUAAUUGGCACUUGAGCAACAGACUUUGGACUCUGUCCCGUGCGUUUUUCCCCUGCUCAUCGCCCCAUUCAUUGUCCUUGUUUGGCUGCCUCUGUGUGCAGCGUUUCGAUCUAUUCUUAGAUUAUUCUUCUGUGAUCUUUGAGUGAGUAAUCUUGGUCCAAUUUGGGCAGUAUUGCUGUGUGAUUUUGGGCCCUUGAUCUGAGCCCGAAUUUAUCCACUUUUGGAGCCAAUCAAUUGGAGUUUUGAUAGUAAAGUAUUGUUAUUUCAUUUACUCAAUUAAUUCUCCUUGUCAAUUGAUUAUAUAACUAACUUUGUGUUGAUUAUUUGGUUGUUUGGUGAUGAUAUCUCCACAAACUCGUAUCAGAACCAAUUUUUUUUGGCACCGUGACUUCGAAAUCAAUCAUUGUGUGUUGAGAAUUAAUCUGCUAUUAAACUAAACGUGUGUUCGUGGUGCAAAUAUUGAUGGCAAAUGUUGUAGAGUUCAUAGAACAAUGUUUACGAAUAUCCAUUAGCCUUUAUUCGACCUAUGUAUUGAGAUACAAAUAUUGUGUUAUGAUUUUGUCCACCAUAAUCCCCUGUCUCCUAAUUUAAAGCUCUGUUAGUAUCGUAGGAAAUGACACAAUCAGGAGUAGGGCUUUCCUUGGUCUCGUUGGUAAUCUAGUCUUUCUAGAUUUUGAAGGGUAUGGAUAUAAAUCCACACCCUUGAUCACCACCAUCUUAGUUUAGAGACUCCAAAUACUAUUCUCUGUAUGGUCAUUUUUUGGGGAGAGGGGUAAUAAAAGGAUAAAAGUAAAAGAAAAAAACAAAAAAUUCACAUCUGGAGUGGACUAUAAUUAGCUCUAGAUGCAAAUAUACAAAUCACUAUCGUGGGAGUGGGUGGUGGUGGUCAAUUUAGACUGAAACGUGUGAGUAUUUAUUGUUAAGGCUUUAUCAAAAGAGAUUGUCACUUUUUUGUUUUCGCAUUUCUUUUUUCAAAUUUUCUUAAUUUUUUUCAAUUUUUUGUCACUUUUUUUGAAAAUUUGUCAUUUUAUUGAACUUUUUUACCAAAAGUCUUAACAGAUGAAAUAGAUACUAAUUAUUCAAUAAGAAAACCACUAUCAUACUAUUUUUAUCACUUUUGUUUAGUGUUUGUCACUUUCUUUUUUUUUUGAAUUUCGUCACUUUUUUUAUUUUUCGUCACUUUUUUUUUUUAAAUUUACAUCACUUUUUUGAGUUAGUAACUUUUUUUGAAUGUGUCAUUUUAAAAAAAAAAAAAUUGUCACUUUUUUUUUGGCUACUUUUUGAGUGUGACACCUUUUAUAUUCUUUCAAUUUUUUUUAUAUGUGUAGCUUUUUUUAAUUAAUAUCAAUUUUUUUAAUUGUUCACUUUUUAAAAUUUCUACCACUUUUUUUGGAUUUUUGUCACUUUUUAAAAAAAUUUAUCACUUUUUUUUUAGUGUUUAUCACUAAUUUUAGUUACCUUCUUAUUUCUAUCAUUUUUCUUAGUGACAAACAUCAAAUUUUAAUAAAAAUGACAUNNNNNNNNNNNNNNNNNNNNNNNNNNNNNNNNNNNNNNNNNNNNNNNNNNNNNNNNNNNNNNNNNNNNNNNNNNNNNNNNNNNNNNNNNNNNNNNNNNNNNNNNNNNNNNNNNNNNNNNNNNNNNNNNNNNNNNNNNNNNNNNNNNNNNNNNNNNNNNNNNNNNNNNNNNNNNNNNNNNNNNNNNNNNNNNNNNNNNNNNNNNNNNNNNNNNNNNNNNNNNNNNNNNNNNNNNNNNNNNNNNNNNNNNNNNNNNNNNNNNNNNNNNNNNNNNNNUCACUGUAACUAUUUUAAACAAAAUUUAUUAUGCAUUUGAGUGGUUUAUGUGCAAAAUUGGACAAUGUAGACUGCAAGAGAUAUUAUAACGAAAUAAUGAAAAUGACGAUAAAAUACAAAUGAGCUUCUAAUUUUAUAUUAAUUCAUACUAAAUUAAUAUACUUCCCAAUGAUGUGUUGUACUGAAUUCUGCAAAUUCAAGUUGUUAGGAGAGUAAUCCCUCUUGAACAGGCUCAAAAACAGAAUUGUAGGAAACAGAUUGUUGUGUGAAUUAAUGAUUGAGUGUUAUGUUCUUUUUCUUUUUUUUCAAUCUUUCUAAUCUCGAGUCAACACGUGUCUCCCCUUGUUUUGAAUCUCUCUCCAAGCUUGUUUAUAUAGCACGUUUGUUGUUAGUAUUUCUUUAAAAGGUGUGAAAAUGGCUAAGAAGUUAUUGUAUUAUUGGGUUGUGUGUAAUAUAUAUUCAUACAUUUUUUUACUUCUGUAGUGAAGCCAUUCUGUUUAUAAUUAGAAUAAUGCCCUAUUUGACCUCCUUUAUUUCAAUUUAUAAUUUUUGGAAUAAUAUUUUUUUUUUCAAAAAUGUGUUAUUAAAAAAGAAUGAAAAGUUUUCGAUUAACGUAUAAUAUUAUUUUAUGGAAGAUUGUGUGGUUAAAAAUAAUAGAGAGAAAAUUAUAAUUUGAAAUAAUGGGGCCAAACCGGGUUAAAUUCUUAUGUUUUUUAAAAGGGGUAAUUACCAAAAAAAAUCCCUAUCGUUUUCACCCCUUGAGAAAAUAGUCCAUAUCAAUUCAAACUUGACCUUCACACUCUCAUUUUAAACCUUUCAUAUAGAGUUGGUCAUUUUCGUCAUGGUCCGUUAAAUUCCAAUUUACUUGAAGGUUCUUGUUGUUCGCCUUAAUUAAGCAAAUCGUCCAUAUCGUUUUAAUUUUGAUAUUUGAUUAACAUUUCUUUAUGUAAGAGGUCCUGAUGAGUUAACAUCCUAAUACUGAACUCAAGCUAUAUGCACUAAAGGCUACCACUUUGUGUUGGAGACUAAUGAAUAUGUCGUUUCUUAUCCUAUCUAAUCAAGACGGACAACAUUGUCACGACUUAAAAAAUUCAAGACAGACAACAUGAUCAAACUAUUUUUAGAUUUGUUUAGCUGACUUGGUAAAAAAAUCCAUGUAAUACUUGCUUCCUCGAUGUUUUUAAUUCUUGAUUUGUAGUAAAUUUUGGUUUAUUUUUCAACUUAUAACAAUUGUUUAUUAAGUGCCCUCUUUUUUUUUUUUUGCAAUGAUUGUAAAAUUUGAACUUGCACGACCACAAUCAACAAUGAGGCCAUCUCCAUGACCCUCAGAUGCUAUAAUAUGCUUUAUCUUCUCCUUUAAAUAUAGAGCAUCAUAUAUUUUGAUGGUUAGAGUAUUACAACUAUAUAAAAUCCUGUCUCUGAACGACAUGUAUAAAGUGGGCAAUGAACAAAAUAAAAUCAUCCCAAAUCUUCUUCAUCAUAUUUGAACUCAAAGAUCUCCUCAUUAGGGAUGAUUUCCUUAAAAGUAGUUCGGUGAUCUUCAAGAAAUGUACAUUUUGUCAUAUGAUGAGAAUAUAGACGUUGCUUCAAAUGCAAUUUGCCAGUAAGAUUCUUUGUCAUACUUAAUUGCUUCAAUUUUAACCAUAAUGCAGCGAUUGACUUUUCCUUCAAGAUGCCAUGAAGAAUAUUAUUUAAAUGAUAAAGAUGUAUUUAAGAUAGGGUCACCUUUCGAUCCCUCCAUUAUUUUUCCUCUGGGGUCCAAGUUACAGGCAUCUUGUCAAAUCCCAAUAACACGUCUUUCAAAUUCAUCUAAGAGAUUACUAUUUGUAUCUUUACCUACAACAAAAGAGAAUCUUAUAUUGUGAUCUAAUAGCGAAACAUCAUACUUCAUUUUUAUCUUUACGAAUCAAAACCUCGAUCGUCCCAAGAAUUUUAAAACCAAAAACUAUGAUACUAGUUUGUUGUGAAACAAAGAUGAUACAUGAUUAAUUUGAUUCCACUUUAUUGAAGAAAUGAAAGAUUAUAGCACAAAUGAAGUUAAGAUCUCAAAGGCACAAGAACAAUGUAAUUUGUAGAGUAAAUGAGUUUUUAUUAUAAUAUGGAGGAAGAAUACAAAGACAUGUGCUUACAAUAUUUCUAACUUAGCCUAAAUCAUAAUGAAGAACCAGUUAUAUAUAGGGAAGAAAUAAGUUAUGCCCAAACCCUAAUAGUAGAGUUAUAGUUAAAAAAAAAAAAAAAAAAAAAAAAAAAAAAAAGGGCAUAGGCUGGAAACACCGUUACUCGAGCGGGUAACUAGUGCUCAGCUAGAAGUGCCCUGGUCCUUGACCAAUAGGCUAGCACAAUGCAAGCUCCAACUUCUCUACAUUUGGCGCUUGAGUGCCCAAAUACGACAAGAAAACCUUUCAUUUCGUCUCAUAAUUUCAGCCUCUUCCUAUCCAACACAAAUUUCAACUCUUAAUAGGACUUCUAAAUAAAAUUUCAACUAGAAUUUGUCAAAUAAACUUAAAUAGAAUUCUACAAUAGCAUUCCAAAUAAAAUUUCUCUAAAAGUGUACUUUAAUUAGAAUUUUUAAUUAUCUUUAAUAAAGAAUUCGGGUCCCAUCAAAAUUCUAACAUGCAUGAAUUAAGAAGUAUACUAAUGUAAUUUUGGGAAGUACAAAAUAGUUCAAUUUUGUAACAAAAAAUUAUAUUAAUUUUAAUAGUAUGAAUUGCCAAAAAAAUAAAGUUUGAUGUAUAUGCAGUAUGUUUUGAAGCAAAAGUAUGUUACGUUAUUUAGACAAAUUAAUCUCUUAUGACUUUGAUUGUGGAUAAAAAAAAACAAACAUAAAAUGUUUGUGUAGACACAUGGAUAUUCUUAGACACUUCGAAAGGAAUUAUGGACAAAGUCGACAAAUGAUAUCUUAACACUGUGUAUUGUCUACUAGACUUUUGCACUCCUAAUAAAAUGUGUUUUUGCGGCUGGAGUCUUUUGGAUCCUGUUAUUCUGCCUAUAUUACGGUUAAUUCAGUUAGCUAAUUAGGUAUAAUUUUCAUCCAAGUCAACAAAUCUAUUUACCAUUUACGCAACUUUCGGGAAAUGCACUUGAGAUUCAGAUACAGCUAUUAGUUUUAACAGCUUAAAAGUCAUCACAUAAAUUAGGUACAUUUGGUAAGUAGUAUUCUUAUUAUGAAAAAAUAAAUUAAAUAUUUUAUAUUAUACUGUAUAAAUUAUUUUGUAUUAUCUACAAAACAUGUUCUUAAAUGGUAUUAAGAAUUUAUUUAGUGACAAAUUCGGUGAUGGAUCUAGAAAUCCUAGUGAGUACGGAUGGCCACCCAAUAUAAGGAAAAGAAAUUUUUCGAUGGAGCUAGCACGAGCGGCCACAAGGGCUCAUCGAGUACCAACUCCGCCCCUAAUGACACUGAACAAAUGCAUUAAGUAUUUAUUAUUAUUAUUAUUAUUAUUAUUUAUUUUUGUUGAAAAUUGGAUGGCUCUAUAAAGAGAUUAUCGACACAUUUCAACUAAGCCUGUAAAGCUAAUAUUAGGACUUGAUGUGCAGUGUAUUAGGGCUAAUUAUUGGUUGGUAAAUCUACACUGAGUCGAUAGAAAGGAUUGUUGUAGUCAAGCUUGACUAGGAUUGGUUAUUCGCGAAAUAUUCUUAAAUCGAUGAACAAAUAUGGUUCUGAUAUGGUUUAAUUUAUCAUUGUACACUCUCUCUUGAAGGUUUCUUGCAUAGUGACGGACUUAUCUAUGAGCCCCUAGAUUAGGCUUCUUCAAAUUGGGUCAACAAUAUCCUAUCUUAUUUACGAUUUUGCAUUUGGUGUUUGGUUUGAUUUACUUUUGUUUGUGGUCUUUGGGUCAAAAUACCCAACAAGGCCUAUUCCAGUAUUGAAACUACUCAUGUUUUACCAACCCAUCAUGUUCUCUAGUCAUAAUUUUUUUAGAAUAAUUUUUUGAAGAAUAGCGCGCGAAAGUGUAAUAGGCACAUGAGCCUCUUUCCAUCACCCAUAUUCGUGCAUUGCUUUUUUGGCUGGUGAUGUCUAUGAAUAAUUUUUAGUGUUUUAGAUUAGCAUUCAAUUUUCAUUUUCCUUAUAGAAGUCGUAUUUUCAGAUUUGUUAUCACCUUAGUUGUCAUUAAUUGAAAAACUCCAUCGGCAGUUAACUUAUAAAAUAAAUAUAUCCCCUAAUUGGAUAUUGAUUUAGCAAUAUACUACCUGUUGAUGUCAAAAUUAGCAAGGAUAAUUUUGAACCAACUUUAAGAAAAAAAAAGCGAUUUAUGCUUAAAAAAGACCACAAAGAUGUCAUUUUAGUGUGAUUGUGCCAAAGUCGUUAUAUGAAUUCGCUCCCCUAUUACAAGAGUCCUAUUCAAUUAUUUAUACAUAAUUUCAUCGAAAUUACAUCAAAUCAGUCAAAUCAGCAACAGUGCCGAGCUCGAAACUCGGGUCGCCAAAUUCUCCUGUGAUUGGUCAAUGAGGCCGAUGGUCACGUGUCAAUGUAUUGCCCAGGUAAUGAUGACCUGUAAGGGGCUGGAGUUCGAGGACUUGGAAUUGGUUAUUCCGGGCGGCGAUGACGUCACAUGUGGCAAGUGUAUCUGAUUGAUAGUGUGAUGAGACAAGGGGCAUCAUGAUGUUUUCUUAAGAUAACGGCGUGUAACUCCGACCUGGGGUUGUGGGCUGAACUUACGUUUAACUGAGGUGGGGUUAGCAAGCUGUUUAUACUAGAUCGGAGUUCGGAUGUCAACAGUUACCCCCCGGGUCAGCUCUACCGUAGGGGGGCUGUCCUCAGUGAUGCUUUCUCCAAGAAGUACAUUUAUUGCUGUGACAAGUGUCAUCUUUUGAGGUGGAUGAGCUGUACGCCAUUUAUAAGUAGCUUCUUCAGCAAGUUUGGCUAAAACUACGUCGUUUUGUCUCUCAAACUUUUGAACUGUUGAUAUUUUCCCUCCAUUUCUGGAUGAAUGGCUCAGAUUGCGCCCUCUCAUCUUCUUUUUCUUUAAAUCCCUUUUUGGCCAGUCAUUUCUCCUCCUAUUUCGCUAGUUUUACUUUCUCAAAUAUUUGGGUGAUUUCCUGAGUUCGUAUUUCCGUAUUCGAGUGAGGUCGUCUUCCUAGUUCGUUUCCCAGGUAUCCUUCUGUUCUUAUCUACUGCCUCCUUUCAGUUUGUGCUUUGUUUCCUAGUUUAUACAUGAGUUCGGACGAGUCUGAGUUCAUUCCUGGGACAACCAGCAGGAAGAGUCAGUAUCCUUCUCGACGAGUUCGUCUUCUAGUUGUAGGGAAGUUUUUACCCCCAUUCCUAUUUUCGUAAUUAACCCGACUGACUUAGGGCGUCCUGUCAUAGACUUAGGAUGUGAGGGUUCCAAGGAAGCAGGUAGAUCCAGUAAGGAUGUUGAGGAGAGUAAUUCUAAAGAGUGGGGGUGAGUUCUUAUAGGUCGGUUGUGACAGGGGAUGUGUUAGCCAGCUGGCGAGCUAAAUACGCCAUCCCUAGUUCGGUAGUUAUGAUAAUACCAGAGCCAUUUGACCAAGCUGACACUCCUCCUAAGGGAUGUGUUGCUCUGAACUUGACUAUCCUUCAGGCCGAUCUUAGGCUUCCUUUUCCUAGGGUAAUUCGUAAAUUCCUUCCUUCCUGGGGCAUAGCUCCCAUGCAGCUAUGCCCUAACGGGUGGUGAACCUUAAUAGCCACCCUUAUUCUGUGGAACCAAAUGGGAAAUCCCAAGCUAAGUGUCCAACAAUUCGAUUCUCUGUUUACUUUUAAGGAGGAUGGGAAGAACUUGGGUUGGUAUUACACAAGCGUUAGGCCUAAGACGGGAGGCUCUCUGGUGUUAGACACCCCUUCCUCAAUUAAGAAAUGGAAGGAAGAGUGGUUCUAUGUAUUGGGGGAGUGGCAGUUUCAUUCUGCCGAGGUGAAUAGGGAGGACGUGGUUCCCAGGUUCUAUCAUUCAUUAUGUAAGUGCCUUUUUGGGUUUUAGUCUUUUAGCAAGGCGCAUGUUGACGAAGUACUAACCUCGGUAUUUUUUUCUUUGUGCAGAUUACAAGAAAGAGACGUUAACUAAAGAUACACAGAGAUGAGCUGAGGUAAUAAGAUCAUUACCUAAAAAGCAAAGGUCCUGUAAGUUCGUAAUCUCAUAUUCGAACUUAUACCAGGCCGGAUUGUUGCAAGUACAAGCUUCAAGUUCGGUUCCAUCCAGUUCAUGCAAUAUUUUGACCUUCAUUCGCUUGUGAUUUCUUUAUGUAUAUACAUAUUUAUUGAGCGUUUCACUGCUUUCUCAGAUCAUCAGGACGAGAUACGGGGCUACAAGGCAACAAAGGCGGCGGCUGCGGCCGAGGGAAAGAAGAGAGAAGUCCCAGAACGGAUGGAGAGCCGUUCGAAGAGGUGGAGGAUGAGGUUCCAUUAAAGAGGAACCGAUCUGUGCCCCUGGCAUCACUGAGAAUUCCUGAGGCAGUGCCUUUGCCAAGCCUGACCAUGUCGUCUCUUUCAUUACCAUCCCCAACUACCCAUUCUACUGUCUAGAUUAGUUCUGCAAACUUGCAAGAUCGGUGCUCAGAUUUACAGAGGCCGAGCUGGGAAAGUUUGGUGGGACACAGACCAGAAAUAUUUUCAGACUAUCUCCGAGCUCCUUCUCCCUCCAGGGGAAUGACUGCCGCGCUCACUUCACCUUUGAGGGAGUUGGCCAAUCUACUUACCCGGAGCUGGGGUGAGAGAAAGCAGGGCUAUCUGAAUGAGAUGCCCAUUGGUGAGGCCUUGGUCACUGUUCAGCUCCAUGAUCACCGGUCAGUUUUAUACAUGAUGGCAGUGGCGAAUAAGGUAUACCUCUUACUUGAAUUUUGAUCAAUUUUAUAACUGUUUUAAUGACUUACUUAAUUUUUGAUUUUUGAAAAAUAGAUGAAGUCUGAGCUGGACAAACUCAUAGAGGCAAAGGAUUAGGCCUUCAAUCUUUACAACAGCAUGGAGGCUAAAAAGGCCCAGUUCACUUUGACGGAGAAGGAGUAUGAAGAAAAGCUGAACUAGAUGGGGAUCGAGCUAAACUCCAGGCUCGAUGUCGAGGAGAGAUUGAUGGAAGAGAUCAAGGCCUUGAAGGCCUCGGAGGAGGAGGCCAGAGCUCAGGCAGAAAAGGAGCGCGGCAAAGUCAGAGAGGUCAUCCAGAAGGUACAAGAGGCCAACGAAAGGGCAAGGCAGGCCACCAAAAGGGCUAAAGCGGCUGAGGCCAAGAUUGACAGAGUGGUGGAGGCCUGGAAGGAGUCCUCCGAGUUUGACGUUGUAGCCCAGGAUGUCUACGUGGUAACACUGGAGGAGUUGGUGGGGGCACAUCAGGAAGGAGAGGCCUGAUUUUGAUGUGACCUUUUGGAUGAGGCACUGGAGGGGCAGAAGGAGGAGUUGCAGAGAUUGUUAGAGUCUGCUAGAGUCUGGGUAUUACCAGUAGCUCAGGAUGUUGAAGAUACUACCCCAGCCUCCCAAGACCCUUAGGCGGUUAAAAACAUUGAUUUUUGGUAUUUAGUUUUGCCAUAUGUUUUUGGCUUACGAAUGAACUUUGGUUUGGCUGUUUAUGACAUUUUAUUUAGAAUAGAUAAUUGUUUAUGAUAAGUACUUUUUUUUUUAGCAAUUCCUCAUAAACUUAGCUAAAUUUGUAAGAGCGUUACAAUAGCAUGUUGAAUUAUCUUGAAUGAAUUUUACUUAGUUAUGCAGUACUUGCUUUCCAAACCAGGUACCACGUACGGCCUUAGCUCGUCCUGCGUGUAGAGUGGGGCUUUAUAGAUUCCUUAGGAAGUUUUUUUUUACUAAGUGUCGCAGCACAUACGAUCUUAGAUCGGCCUACGUAUGGAGCAGGGCUUUAUGAGAUUCCUUAGGAGGAAUUUUCCACUAAGUGUCGUAGCACAUACGACCGUAGAUCGGCUUGCGUAUGGAGCAAGGCUUUAUGAGAUUCCUUAGGAGGAAUUUUUCACUAAGUGUCGCAGCACAUACGACCUUGAAUCGGCCUACAUAUGGAGCAAGGCUUUAUGAGAUUCCCUAGGAGGAAUUUUUCACUAAGUGUCGUAGCAUAUACGACCUUAGAUUGGCCUGCGUAUGGAGCAGGGCUUUAUCAAAUUCCUUAGGAGCAAUUUUUCACUAAGUGUUGCAGCACAUACGACCUUAGAUCAGCCUACAUAUGGAGUAGGACUUUAUAAGAUUCUGAUAGAUUGCUGAGUAAAAUGUUCAAAUAAUGGAAAGUCCCUUUUUAUUGAUGUGAUUGACAUUACAAGGGGGCUUUUUCCAUUCACUGGUAGUACUGCAUAAGGUGUUCGGCAUUCCAAGGAUGGGGUAAGGACCUACCCCCCAAGUCUUCCAGUUCAUAUGCUCCUUUUAGCAGGACCUUCGUUAUCAGAUAGGGACCUUCCCAAUUCGAAUCUAGGCAUCCACUGCCGAUCUCUCUUGUGGGGAGGAAUACCUUCCGUAAGACGAGGGAUCCUACCUCAAAUUCUUUUUUUCGCACUUUUUGAUUAUAGUACUUGGCGCUCCAUUGUUUGUAAACGGCAUUUUUGAGUUCGGCGUUGUUCCUUUUUUCCUCCGUUAGGUCGAGUUCCGUGCGAAGAGCUAUGUGAUUCCUUUCUUCAUCGUAAUCAGUUAUGAGCAGCAAAGGAAUGUUGAUUUCUAGUGGGAUCACGGCCUUAUGCCGAAAGCCAGUGAGAACGGGUUACAGUAGUACGAUAAGACCAUAACACACUGGGGAGUUCUUCGGCCCAUCCUCCUUUAAACAAGUCAAGUUUUACUUUCAAUGUGUGCUUAAUAAUCUUGUUAAUGGCUUCGACUUGGUCAUUUACCUGUGGAUGAUUUGGUGAUGAGAAAUGUUUCUUGAUGUCGAGCUCUUUGCAGAAAUCCGAAAGUCGUGCGUUGUCGAACUGUUUUCCAUUAUCCGUAACAAUGGAGUGCGAUAUGCCGAACCUGCAGAUCACUGAUUUUCACAAAAAGUUGGUUGUUUUCUGUUCGGUGAUGGUGGCAAGGGACUCUGCCUUGACCCAUUUAGUGAAGUAAUCCACUGCGACGCUAGCAAAUUUUACCCUUCCUUUUCCAAUAGACAUGGGUCCAAUUAGGUCGACCCUCCAUUUUACAAAGGGCCAAGGUGAUGUUACUGGGUUCAGUUCACGCGGUGGAGUAUUUAUGAUGGGGGCAAGGCACUGGCACUUAUCACAUCUUUUGACAAAUUCAAGGAAAUCUCGUCUUAUUGUAGACCAAAAGUAUCCUUGUCAUAUGAUCUUGUGGGCUAGUGAGAGUCCACCGGAAUGGUUUCCACAUAUUCCUUCGUGAACGUCCUACAGGGCAUGCUGAGCUUCCUCUUCGUUCAAGCACCUUAACAAGGGCGUAGAAUAUCCCCAUUUGUAUAGUAUAUUAUCAAUGAGAGUGUACCUGGCCGACCUUGUUCGGAGCUUUCUAGCCUCUGCAGAGUUUUCGGGAUAUUUUUCGAUUUUCAGGUAAGUGAUGAUCUCGUCCUGCCAAGUUGGUUUGGGGUCUAUCACCAUAAGGACCACUUUAUCCAGCUCAGUGGACGAUAGGGAUAUUCUUCCCAUGGGGAUGCUAUCGAACUCCUCGAUUCCCUCACUGGUGGUUAGGCGGGCCAGUGCAUCGAUGUGAUUGUUUUGAGAUCGGGGAAUUUGUUUGACUUGGGUGGUGUUGAACCUUUCAAGUUCUUUUUUCACAACUCGUAGGUAGUUGUCCAUCCUGUUUUCUUUCGCUAUAUAUAUGCCGUUGACCUAAUUUACGACUAGUUGGGAGUCGCUGUGUAGGAUUAGGUCGGAGAUCCCUAGUCCUGAGGCCAUUUUUGCUCCAGCAAUGAGAGCUGCGUACUCAGCCUCAUUAUUUGAGGCUUUGAAGUCAAAUGGCAAGGCUUCGCAGAAUAUGCGGUGAUCAGGGUUGAUUUAUACGACGCAGGCUCCAGAUUGUUCUCCGGUGGAUGAACCAUCGACAUAAAGUUUCCAAGGCGUUUCUUUCCGUUGUUCUUCAAUUGGGACGUUGCAGAACUCAGAGACAAAGUUGGCGAGUGUCUGGACCUUUAUGGAGGAACGAGGCGUGUAUUUGAUGGCAAAUUGUCCGAGUUCUACUACCCAUUUUACCAUCCGUCCAGAGGUGUCGGGCCUUUGUAGCGUUUAUCUUAAUGGAGAGUUGGUAAGGAACUCAAUGGGGUGUUCCAAGAAAUAUGGCCUCAAUAUUCGCGCUGCCAUUAGUAGGGUGAAUGCCAACUUUUCUACAAGGGAAUAUCUAAUCUCGGCUUCGUGAAGCACUUUGCUUAUGUAAUAAACUAGAUGUUGAACGUCAUUUUCUUCUCGGGUAGAACGACACUAAUGGCAUGCUCUGAAAUAGAUAAAUAUAGCUUCAGGGCCUCGCCUGCCUUAGGUUUUGAAAGCAACGGAGGUCGGGCUAGUUGUCUCUUUAGUUCGUUAAAGGCGUCCUGGCAUUCUUUGGUCCAUUCAAACUUCUUUCCUCCUCGUAAUGUGUCGAAGAAGGGUUUGCAGUGGUCCGUAGAUUUGGAGACAAACCGACUGAGGGCGGCAACCCUUCCGGUUAAACUUUGUACCUCUCUAGGUUUGGUUGGAGGCUUCAUUUGGAUGAUAGCUUGUAUUUUUUCAGGGUUUGCCUCAAUUCCUCGGUUGUUUACAAUGUAACCUAGGAAUCUUCCAGAACUGACCCCGAAAGCGCAUUUCCUCAGGUUCAACUUUAUUCCAUACUUCCUCAGUAUAUCAAACAUUUCAGUUAGGUGUUGACAGUGGUCCCUGGCCUUGAUGCUUUUGGCCAGCAUAUCGUCAACAUACACUUCCAUUGUCUUUCCAUUCUACAGGGAAAACAUGGAAUUCACAAGUGGCUGGUAGGUGGCGCCAGCGUUUUUGAGACCGAAUGGCAUUACUCUGUUGCAUUAAAGACCUCGUUCAGUUACAAAUGAGGUAUGUUAUUGAUCCGGGCCGUACAUCGGUAUCUGGUUGUACCCGGAAUACACGUCCAUGAAGCUUAGUAGCUCAUGUCCGGUGGUGGCGUCCACCAUUUGAUCUAUUCUUGACAAUGGAAAGCUGUCUUUGGGGCAUGCUUUGUUGAGAUCGGUGAAAUCUAUGCAUACCCUCCAAUCUUCGUUGUGUUUUUUUACAAGGACCAAAUUCGCGACCCACUUCGGGUAUUUCGCUUCAAGGAGGAAGCCGUUGUUCAACAGCUUUUGCACCUCUUUGUUGAGUGCUUCAUAUCUUUCAGGGUUCAAGGGUCGUCGAUUUUGCUGCUUUAGCCGAACUAAAGGAUCCACCUAUAAUUUGUGGCAUGCAAUAUUAGGAUCUAUUCCUCUCAUGUCACUAUGAUCCCAGGCGAAGACAUCGAGGUUCUGUUUAAGGAAAGCCACAAUCUUGCUUCGGGUGGAGGACUGCAACUCCCACUCGACUUUGAGCUCCUUUGUUUGGUCCUUAGCGUAGACUCAAACUCCUUCUAGUUCUUCAAUGGGUUCUCCGCCUUCGAUCCUGGUCUGUGGGUCUAAGGGAAUGAGUUCGGAUUCCCAUAUGUUUACCAUAUGUACUUCCGGGGAGUUGCGUUAAUGGCUGGCACAGGUUUUCCAUUGACAUCUUUCAGCGAACUCCCUGUUUCCUUUGACUUCCUCUACACCCCACGGUGUGGGGAACUUGAUAGAAUAGUGAUAUAGGAAAACUGCUGCUCUCAGGCUGAAGAGUAGGGACUGUCCCAUCACAGCGUCAUAAGGGGAGGGGAUAUUGAACACCACGAACUCGGAGUUCGUCUUCACCUGCCGGGGUACUGAUCCAGACUCAACUUUGAGUUUGAUUGAUCCUUUGGCGGAAGUCAAGGCUCCACUUAAUCCUAGGACCAUAUUUGGGUACGGUUGAAGAAAGUUAGCAGGGAUGCCCAUCCAUUUAAAGGUGUUGCUAAAUAGGAUGUUCAGAGAGCUUCCUAUAUCCACCAAGACUUUAGGGAUGGUUACCCCGACCACAGGCAACGAGAUUACCAUAACUCUGUGGUAAGGAUGUGGGUCCGCCUCCUUCUUGUCAAAGGAUAGUUACUCAUCUGUGGCUUUUUUGAGAUUCUUUUCCGUUAUGCCGAUCUCCGAGAGAUCGACAUAAAUUGGUCUCUUUGGUCUGGCUUCCUUGGCUUGUGUGUUCGUCAUAUUCCUUAGUAUGUUGACUUGUGGCCUUGGCAGGUCGACGUUGCAGGCCUUUACAGUGGCUUGAUCUCCUUGGAUAAUUCCAGUCCCGUAAGGGGUGGGAAAUUUCACGCAAUAAUGAUAAAUUAAUGUGGCAGCCUUUAGUUCGUGCAAAAUGGGCCGUCCCAAUAUUACAUUGUAAUUGGACGGUAAAUCGACCGUCACAAAAUCCGCUAGGAUUCUUCUUUGGCAAGGAACUUCGCCCAGCUCCACAAUAAGGACUAUCUGACCUAGGGCUUCGAUAGGAUCCCCAGAAAAUCCCUGUAGCUUCCUUGGAUAUUGUUAGAGGUAGCGGACUGAUAUUUCCAACUACUUCAAAGUUCGUGAGUAUAGUAUGUUAACUGAACUUCCAUUGUCUACUAGAGUGCAGUGGACUUUUACUCCGGCAACCAUCAUUGUGACCACCAGGGCGUCACUCUGGUCUUGAAGGAUUCCUUCAGAAUCUUUUUCUGUAAACCAAAAUGAUUCAGGGUCUAUGCUGGUCUUAGGGGUUUGAUUCUAGUAGUUCGGCACGGUUUUUACACUUCAGGCCUGCCUUCGUCUGGCCCUUCUUGAUCCUUUAAUAUACUGAUUUUCGCCCAUCAUCAUUUUGAUUUCGGCAUGUGGAGGUGGGUUACGGUUAGGGAUUACCUGCUGGGCUCAUGUGGGAGCCCCCUGUAGCAGUGGCUGUUGUGUCAUAGGUCAAGCUGCUUCUUUUGGCUUGGCAACAAACUCCGGUAACCGACCUCUUCGAAUUAAGGUUUCAACUUCCUCUUUUAAGUCUCGACAGUUAUCAGUGUCAUGGCCCAUCGUCCUGUGGUAUCGGCAGUAUCAUCCCUGGCACUAUGUGGCCUGUCCAUCCUUUAGGACUAUAGGUAUGCGAAAUGCUUCUUUUGUAUUAGCUUGCGUGAAUAUCUCUUCCAAGGAAGCUUUGAGCGGGUGGUACUCCCGGAACUUGUAUGGCUGAGCCUUGGGACGUUCUCUUUCUCUCCUGUCAUUCUUUCUUUCUGGCUAGGGACUGUGGCUUGGUUUUUUUUCUUUCACCACAUCACUGAGGUCAAUUUCGUGUCUUGCUUCUUCUUGGUCAGAGGUUGCUUCUUCAGCGCUUAUGUAUUUUUCAGCUCGAUUCAAGAACUCGUGAUAAGUUAUUGGGCCGUCCUCGUGUACUGACUACCAGAAUCUCAUUUUGGGUCUUAGUCUUGCUAAUGUGGCCAUGAGUGACGCAUCGUCAGAUAUUUUUUCCACUUCCAUGGAUUGCUUGUUGAACCUACUUAGAUAGUUUUUGAGGGAUUCACUUCUUCCCUGCUUGAUGCUCACUAGACGUUCUUUAGGUGUAGUUCUAGCCUUGGAGCCCAUAAACUAGGCCAAGAAUGCAGUGGCUAGAUCAUUCUAAUCCUUUACCGACCUUUCGUGUAGUCUCCUAAACCAUCUUUGGGCUUUGUCUUCUAGAGUCAGGGGAAAUGCCCGGCACAUGAUUGCAUUGCUUGCCCCCUAUAGUUCCAUCCACGAUGUGUAUUUGUCAAGGUAGUUGAGGGGAUCACCAUCCCCUUCGUAUGUGGCGAUCUGGGAAACUUUCAAUUUUUCAGGUAGUGGUUCUAUAAGGACAUCCUCAGUGAAGGGAGAAUGUCGUUUGGUUUGGUAACCUUCAGUGCCACCUUUGUUUUUAGCCUCCAGUUCGACGAUGCAUUUUUUAAGCACGCUCAGUUUGGGUUUUGUUUGUUCCAAGGGACGUUUCAGGUCGGUUUGUCCUUGCGUAGGAGUCAGCGAGUGAUGGAUCCCCAACCUGUCGAACACACUUGCAGUCCUUCUCGCCUUGGGUUCGUUGUUUUUGGCCUCGUGGCUUCUUGAUGAUUCUCCUCUUGAAAAGUGGAGGGUCCUCCUGGUGGGGGGACGCUUUGUCUUUGUCCUUACAGGGUAUUCCACCUCAGUAUCUGGUGGGGAUGAAUGGGCUUGGCUCCUUUCCAGUCGUUCCACUGCAUUUGUCAGUUUUUCUAGGGCUUCCCUCAUUGCGAUCAUUUGAGGGUCCUGCCGUUGUGGAGUACUCAGUGGUAUAUUCGUUUCAUGAGGGUGAGUGUGAGAUGGAUUUCUGGAACUUGAGCUAUGACUCAUGGCUCUUGAAAUUUUUAUGGAGCAGAUGAAACUGUUUUUCACAAUUAGGGGCCCUCCUUCUAGUGCCAAACUGUUGAUGUCAAAAUUAGCAAGGAUAAUUUUGAACCAACUUUAAGAAAAAAGUCGAUUUAUGCUUAAAAAAGACCACAAAGAUGUCAAUUUAGUAUGAUUGUGCCAUAAGUUGUUAUAUGAAUUCGCUCCCCUUUUACAAGAGUCCUAUUCAACUAUUUAUACAUAAUUUCAGCCGAAAUUACAUCAAAUCAGCAACAGUACCAAGCUCGGAACUCGGGUCACCAAAUUCUCCUAUGAUUGGUCAAUGAGGCCGGUGGUCAUGUGUCAAUGUAUUACCCAGGUAAUGAUGACUUGUAAGUGGCUGGAGUUCGAGGACUUGGAGUUGGUUGUUCCGGGCGGCGAUGACGUCACCUGUGGCAAGUGUAUCUGAUUGAUAGGGUGAUGUAACAAGGGGUAAUCAUGAUGUUUUCUUAAGAUAACAGUGGGUAACUCCGACCUAGGAGUGUGGGCUGAUCUUACGUUUAACUGAGGUGAGGUUAGCGAACUGUUUAUACUAUAUCAGAGUUCGGAUGUCAACAAUACCCAUGUGAUAAGUGGAUAUCAGAUUACAGCAAGUACAAAGCUUUUGUUUUUAACUAUCAUUCAUAUGAAAACUUUGAUUUCUUGAAUCGAAUACAAAUUUUCUUUACUCAUUAUAUUCUUACCAUAGCUCGAUUUAUGUAUAUGGCCUAUAUUCUUGUUUAAGUAUGAAUACUGUAAAUAAUUUUCUAAAGAGACAAGCAGCUAUUUGGCUCAACUGAGCCGGAAGACUUCCCAAUGGCGUUAAUGCAUGGCGAAUGAGCCGGCUCAUUUUUAUAGGUCAGCUUAACAUCUUCCAAGGUAAUAUCACUGCAUGGAUUUCCUUUGCUGCAGUCAAAUUUCACUGCAGUUUCUGUUGCUGAACUCCCAUGUAUGUCUUGAUAUGUUACAUCACUAAUCUUCACGCCUGAAACCUGA